AGCAGCCGCGGUAAUUCCAGCUCCAAUAGCGUAUAUUAAAGUUGUUGCAGUUAAAAAGCUCGUAGUUGAAUUUCGGGAUUGGCGCAUCGGUCGUGCCUUACGGGGUAUGAACUGGUGCAGUCAAUUUCUCACCUUCUGGAGAACCGCGAUGUCCUUAAUUGGGUGCCGCGGGGAACCAGGACCUUUACUUUGAAAAAAUUAGAGUGUUUAAAGCAGGCAUUUUUGCUUGAAUACAUUAGCAUGGAAUAAUAAAAUAGGACGGCAUGGUUCUAUUUUGUUGGUUUCUAGGACCACCGUAAUGAUUAAUAGGGAUAGUUGGGGGCAUUAGUAUUCAAUUGUCAGAGGUGAAAUUCUUGGAUUUAUUGAAGACUAACUACUGCGAAAGCAUUUGCCAAGGAUGUUUUCAUUAAUCAAGAACGAAAGUUAGGGGAUCGAAGACGAUCAGAUACCGUCGUAGUCUUAACCAUAAACUAUGCCGACUAGGAAUCAGACGAUGUUAAUUUUUU
This 506-nucleotide ribosomal RNA is filed under the name uncultured Entrophospora. Its description in RNAcentral is "SSU rRNA". It matches the Rfam family "Eukaryotic small subunit ribosomal RNA", at positions 569 to 1072 of the family's 1831-position model. Lineage: Eukaryota; Fungi; Glomeromycota; Glomeromycetes; Entrophosporales; Entrophosporaceae. The record is from RNAcentral.